Long non-coding RNA from Oreochromis aureus, 1325 nucleotides. NCBI's taxonomy places the organism in Eukaryota, Metazoa, Chordata, Actinopteri, Cichliformes, Cichlidae. The record is from Ensembl.
GCUCACUCCUGCAUCUCCGCCCACUCACUGCUCGAUCCCUGCCGAGUGAAAGAGAUCUUUGGUUUUGCCUUUGCUGACUGCUGAUCUGAUCGUCUCAAGUCUGGUGACCUGCUGCAGAAAACCCUCUCCCUCUAUCAUUAUCAAGCAAUUCUGUCUAUCCUAUCACUCUCCCAACUCUAUCUAAUUUGACAGCCAUUCUAUCUUGUAUCACUCUAUCCCAACUGCUCUAUCUAAUUUGACAGCCAUUCUAUCUUGUAUCACUCUAUCCCAACUGCUCUAUCUAAUUUGACAGCCAUUCUAUCUUGUAUCACUCUAUCCCAACUGCUCUAUCUAAUUUGACAGCCAUUCUCUCUUGUAUCAGUCUAUCCCAAGCACUCUAUCUCGUUUUCAGAAAUCCAAGUUUUGAGAAAUCCAAGUUUUGAGAAAUCCAAGUUUUGAGAAAUCCAAGUUUUGAGAAAUCCAAGUUUUGAGAAAUCCAAGUUUUGAGAAAUCCAAGUUGUACCUGAUCCCUGUUUUUGGCAAUUGAAGUUACCAGAACUUUGUCAAUCUGUAUUCAGAAUUCUGAGAGAUCUCCGCUCUCACUGCUCCUUCUUUCCUGUCAUUAAACUCUCUCCAUUCAUUUUGCUGGAAAAUAACAAAUAGAAAGUUGAAUAUACAGUAGUAGAAUUGCAGUACAGUAGAACUUAUAGUAGAAACUACUUAUACAGCCCUACAUUUGUAGUUUUAACUUGGCAUUACACUUUGGAAUAAACACUGAUAGUUUGGCUUACUGGUGCAAUUACUUUGAUACAUUGUAUAAAAUAUACACCUUUUAUAAGGUUUAUUUGUAAUAAGAUAAUCUGACUAUUCUGUAAUAUAUUCAGUGCUAUAUUCACAUAAAUAUUAAAUUUGAUUCAAAUACAUUUUUCAAGUCUGUUUCAUUGGCUAUAACAUUUGACUACAAGUUUAUACUAUUAUUAUUUAAGGACAAACCCUUUUUUGUCACUCAGUGUAAGUGUUCAGUUACAAUUGUCAUCUAGAGGCUGCCCUGAGAACCCAGACUUCCUGUUUCCUGACUGCUGCAGAACAUCCAGCUGAAGAAUCCCCAUUGCCUGUCAUCUGAUCACCACACCAUCACAGCUCCUUAUAUUUGCUUUAAAUUUUAGAUAUCUGAAAGAUUUACACAAAGUCUACUUAAAAGCUAAGAGUUUUAUUAUAGCCUGUUGAUUGAUUGUUGAGAUUUAUUCUGCAUAUUACUUUACAGAAGUAUAGACCUAUUUGUUAUCCAGUCUGGUUAAAAAAAUAUAAGUAAUAAUAUACAGUUUUUGAAAAAGUUACAAUAAAAC